Long non-coding RNA from Oncorhynchus tshawytscha (Chinook salmon), 657 nucleotides. Lineage: Eukaryota; Metazoa; Chordata; Actinopteri; Salmoniformes; Salmonidae. The record is from Ensembl.
AGCUAGCACUGCAGUGCAUAACGUGUGGUGAGUAGCUGACUCAAAGAGAGAAAGACAAUAGGUGAACCGUUUUGAACAAAUUAAUUGAUUAAAAAAAAGUAGAAGCAAAAAAUAUUUCAUUUUUUUCACUUUCACUUUCCUUUACUUAGCUGGUAAAUGCAGCUAGCUAAUUUAGCCUACUCAAACACCCAGCUCAAACAGAGGGAUGCUAUGUUAGCUAGCUGGCUAUGACUAUCCAACACAACACUGGAACUUUUCCAAGUCUAGGUCCUUGGAUUCCUAGCUGUGGUGGCAGGAGACUGGUCCCAGGCAAUGACAGAAAGAAUGGUGGGCCAUUCGGCCAUGACGGAAAUUAAUGAGACAUGCAUCGGUAAUGAGAUUACAAAGCUGUAGCAGAGGAGCCAGGAAGGAAGACCACCAGGUACAUGCUGUCACAGCCUCACCUCCACUGCGGAGAGCAGAGACACACCUGUGUGCCUCAGCUAACACUCAAUACAGUGCCAGCGUGGAUGGUGGAGACAUGGCAGUCCCUGCUGCUGAAAGACAUCCCCACAGCAUGAUGCUGCCACCAACAUGCUUCACCAUUGGGAUGGUGCCAGGUUUCCUCCAGAUGUGAUGCCUGGCAUUCAGGCCAAAGAAUUCAAUCUUGGUUUCAUC